Molecule: non-coding RNA, 73 nt
Organism: Phrynosoma platyrhinos (Desert horned lizard)
Lineage: Eukaryota; Metazoa; Chordata; Lepidosauria; Squamata; Phrynosomatidae
Source: the annotation of a GenBank genome assembly
GGCCAGCAUGGUAUAGUGGUUUGAGUACUGGACUAUGACUCUGGAAACCAGGGUUCAAAUCCUGGCUUGGCCA